CAAAGUAUAGUUUAAUAAAAAAUGUUAGUUUUGGGAAUUAAAGAUACUCUUAUAGGUUACUUUGA
RNAcentral lists this transfer RNA (65 nucleotides) under Paphia amabilis (short-necked clam). RNAcentral's name for it is "tRNA-Pro". The record is from RNAcentral. Lineage: Eukaryota; Metazoa; Mollusca; Bivalvia; Venerida; Veneridae.